UACGUAGGUGGCUAGCGUUAUCCGGAUUUACUGGGUGUAAAGGGUGUGUAGGCGGGGAGGCAAGUCAGAUGUGAAAUUUAUGGGCUCAACCCAUAAACUGCAUUUGAAACUGUCUUUCUUGAGGAUGGGAGAGGUAAAUGGAAUUCCCGGUGUAGCGGUGAAAUGCGUAGAGAUCGGGAGGAACACCAGUGGCGAAGGCGGUUUACUGGACCAUUACUGACGCUGAUACACGAAAGCGUGGGGAGCAAAC
RNAcentral lists this ribosomal RNA (250 nucleotides) under uncultured bacterium. RNAcentral describes it as "partial 16S ribosomal RNA". It matches the Rfam family "Bacterial small subunit ribosomal RNA", at positions 524 to 773 of the family's 1533-position model. The record is from RNAcentral.